GCAAACUUGGUCAUUUAGAGGAAGUAAAAGUCGUAACAAGGUUUCCGUAGGUGAACCUGCGGAAGGAUCAUUACCGAGUAAUGGGGUCUCCGGCCCCUACUCCCACCCUAUGUUGAUUUUAAUAGUUGCUUUGGCGGACCGGUGCCUUGGGUGCCGCCGGCCUGUGGCUGGAGAGCGUCCGCCAGAGGAUUUUCAAACUCUGAUUGAUUAGCUGUGGCAUCUGAGUCUAUUUGAAUGAAGUCAAAACUUUCAACAACGGAUCUCUUGGUUCUGGCAUCGAUGAAGAACGCAGC
This 293-nucleotide unclassified non-coding RNA is filed under the name uncultured fungus. Its description in RNAcentral is "partial contains small subunit ribosomal RNA, internal transcribed spacer 1, and 5.8S ribosomal RNA". The stretch from base 1 to 73 matches the Rfam family "Eukaryotic small subunit ribosomal RNA", at positions 1759 to 1831 of the family's 1831-position model. The record is from RNAcentral. Lineage: Eukaryota; Fungi.